Molecule: unclassified non-coding RNA, 555 nt
Filed under: Hevea brasiliensis (rubber tree)
Lineage: Eukaryota; Viridiplantae; Streptophyta; Magnoliopsida; Malpighiales; Euphorbiaceae
Source: RNAcentral
AACGAAUACUAUGUAUAUGGACAGGAUAGAAGAUACACACCAGAAGAAAGAAGAAGAAGAAGUUGUUUUGAGAAAUUUAUGAUCAGGCCUUUGCAGGCUGAUAAAUUUGUCAUUUAGAUUCUGAGAUGAGAGUUGCAUGGAAAUUAGCAAUGAAAGCAGAAAUUUUGGUGUCAAUAUGAGGAUCAGAAAACUUCCAUGGACCUUUACCAUCUUCAUCACUAGGAAACACCCUUCUUGUAUUAGAUGCAUCUUCAUAACUAUCAUCAACCCUUCGAGUUGGCCUCUUGGGCUUGAACAUAUUAAAGCCAAAGAAAGAAACAGACUUCCUGGUUUGCCUGCUAUUGCCACCCAUGAUAUAGAAAAUUUCUUGCAAUGAAAGCUUUAGCCAGCACACAAAGAGCUCUUUCUCUUAAGGGGUUUGUUGUGUCUUCUUUGUUGGGUAUAUGAGAUGGGAAGCAAGCAAGCUAUUCAAUUUAUAGUGGAGGCUCUGGAGGGUACCAUUUGAAGUUGGCGUUUAGAAUUAUUUUGAAGGUGGAUGUGAAUGGUGAGGAUGAA